GUGACGCUUCGGUUGCCGUAGCCGAGGGCGUAACGGAAAGCGCGCCAAAUUCUGCAGGAUAAAACCCUCCCCUUGAGGCAGGGGACUCCCGUGCUUGGAGCGACGCCUUCCGCGUUGCCUUACAGGUCCUGCGGUGCCUGUAUCAGCACCGAGCUGCAGCGGUGGCCGUGAGGAGGAAGAAGAGUCUUGGGAAGAUGAGUCACGGAAACGCUGAUAAAGUGAAGACAGCGUUUGAAAAAGGCCUUAUUUGUCUUUAGGCUGGAGUUUGCUAAUCUUUGUUAGACCAGAUGACCAGUUUUCGAAUUUUCCAGCUAUUUCUGGAGGCUUAAUGUGUUGGGUGCUUAAGAAACCAAGUAUCGGUAGGAUUUGCAUAGGGGACAUAACCGAAUAGCUGCACUCGGACACCUGACAAAACAGACUUUAUGAAUAUUGUCUUGACACUGUUGCAGAAUCUUGUUGGAAGACAUCCAGCUUUCUCCUCGACUUUCAGCUGGUGCUGCACACUGCCCUCCUCUGACAUCCGUUCCUUUGGCCAUGAGUGCUCUUCUGGUUCUGAGAAGGUCACAAGUGCAAUUCCAAGGGUUUCCAUCUAAAUACAGAUGCCGGAGGCGAGGAGCUGAUCGUGACAGCCAUGCUGCAGCUGCUGCUCCAGAGAGAAUCAUCAGGCUGUUUCCUGCAUUCAGACCCCUCCCAGCAAGAUUUUAUGGAGUAGGAGCUCUUCUGUGCAACAUGAUGGUAACAGGACUGAUGGAGAGUCACAGGACUACACAAUUGUAAGCCUAGCAGGAAGAUGGGCUAUGCAAAAAGGUGAAUAAACAUUCCAAGAUCGCUAGCAUGGAAGGAACACUGCUGGCUCAGUGUGUUGCACAGCUUUGCAGUGUGACAUUGAGAAAGUAAAUCACUGGAGGCCAUUUCCUGCCAACAGUUUUUAUGCAGACUCUCAAAACCUUUCAGUGGGGAGUCUGUGCAGAACUAAUGGCAUAAUAUUCCCUUAAGUCAUUUCUCUGUCAGAAAGAAAGAAAGGUAGCAUCUGUAACUUGUCUUUACAAGAAAUCCCAAGGACAUACUACACAGUAUGUGCUUUAAACAAAAGUAAACAUUUCAAUUCAAACCAAAAAAACCCCCAAAUCCUGACUGGACUCUUUGUCUUGUCAGCUCUUAAUAAGAGCAUUGUUUAUAGAAAAUCAUGGCAAAAUAGUAAAAUAUAAUGGCCAAAUUUGGAUAAAACGUAAGUUUAACACUCUUGUUACGGAAGUUAGAAGACCUUUGAGGAUUGCUGCUUGUAUUUCAGAUCUGAAUAAGGGCUUAUGUGACUGUAAAGUUCGGUUUUUUUUUUUUUCCAAAUAUAGCAGUUAGUCUCAUAAAAAUAAUGCCUUUCUGUACAAGCCUUUGCUCAUUCAGGAUUCAGCAUUUUUUGAUAAUAAUAUGCAAUACUGGUGUUUGGGCUCUUUUUCAAAGUCAGAGAUUUGACAAAAGCACACUGAUGUAUGCCAAGAUAUAAUUCUUGUGUAUUUUAAUUUAGGAUUACACUUAGAAAAUCCUGUAAAAUUAAGAUGACAUUAAAAUUAGCAAAAUGAAUUUGCAGAACUGAAGUUAUGGAGGGUUUAGAAAUGUCUGAGUUAAGACAGCCCAUAAAACUUGUGGUUGGAUCCUUUGUGAUGUACAUCAUGGUACAAAUUGCACAGGGGCAGAUGCAGUCUCCUCAUGAAAAACAUGGAGAAGGCUGAGCUCUUACAAUCUGAGUGGCCCUUGUCUCUGGAAAGGAGAAAUUGCAGGACAAGACCAGCUCCCAGCAGAGAGCACAGGUUAGGAGCUCAGUCCUCAAGAGAUGGCACAAGACAAGCAGACUGGCAGCUAGUAGAUGCUAAGUGAUGGAGUAUGCUCUAAAGAAUGCUCGGCAUAUUUAGCUGCCAUAUGCUAUCAAGUGCCUGCUACUGAGUAUGUGUGAAUUUAUAAUUAUUUUUUCUGGAGGUUUUUAACUUGGAUUUGGUCCAGUUUUUCAUAGGGACAACAAAUGGCAUUUGUCUGAUUUAAAGGUUACCUCCGAUCAAAUACUGUUCUCCAGAGCAUAUAGGGCUGCUAUGUGAAAUAAUCAUAGUAUUGUUUUUAGAAACAAUAUGCCUCUCUUAAUCAUCUUUUGAAAUAAUUUGAAGUGCUUUACGGAAAUGUUUCUUAAACAGCCUCAGAGGGAUACACUGAAUCAAAAAUAUCAAUCUAGACAAAAUUUAAACAAAUUUGGUUUUGGUUAUUAUUAGAGGACAUUCUAGGUAAAUUAAUUAUAUAUACAGAUUGUAAAUUUAUCGAAACUGAUUUUGCUGUUUUAUUCCCACAAAAUAAAACUGAGUAGAAUUUCAUGAAAACAUUUACAAGCCUGUCUGAAAAACAAUGUCUCACUCUUCCUUAUAAGA
Molecule: long non-coding RNA, 2408 nt
Organism: Dromaius novaehollandiae (emu)
Lineage: Eukaryota; Metazoa; Chordata; Aves; Casuariiformes; Dromaiidae
Exons: 5
Source: RefSeq, a predicted model, not a curated record